Molecule: transfer RNA, 70 nt
Filed under: Opistoplatys sp. HL-2013
Lineage: Eukaryota; Metazoa; Arthropoda; Insecta; Hemiptera; Reduviidae
Description: tRNA-Gln
Source: RNAcentral
UAUAUUAUGGUGUUAAGAUGCACGUAAAUUUUUGAAAUUUAAAGGUAUAGUUUAAAUCUAUAAAAUAUAA